AUGGCCUCUACCACUAGCAGUAGCAGCACGACGAGCAGCAGCCAGAAGCUGCGUGUCCUGCUCAUCCCCUUCUUCGCGACCAGCCACAUCGAGCCCUUCACCGACCUCGCCCUGCGCCUGGCCGCGGCGGCUGACCCCGGCGCCGCCGUAGAGGCGACCGUCGCCGUCACGCCGGCGAACGUCCCCAUCGUCCGCUCCUUGCUCGAGAGGCGUACGCAUGACGCAGCCGGAUCUGAGGGCACGCCCGUCAAGAUAGCGACGUACCCGUUCCCGGCCGUGGACGGCCUCCCGGGGGGCGUCGAGAACCUCGGCAAGGCCGCCCCCGCCGACUCGUGGCGCAUCGACGCCGCCGCCGUCAGCGACGCCCUGAUGCGCCCCGCGCAGGAGGCGCUCAUCAGGGAGCAGUCCCCGGACGCGCUCGUCACCGACCUGCACUUCGUCUGGAACGUCCGCGUCGCCGAGGAGCUUGGCGUGCCGUGCGUCAGGUUCAGCGUCAUCGGCGCCUUCUCGUCGCUCGCCAUGCGCCACCUCGAGCUCCUUGCCCCGGACGUCGCCGGCGGCGACCCCGACCCCGACGUCGUCGCCGUGGUCCCUCGGUUUCCGGGCCCUCCGUUACGGAUACCGAGGACCGAGCUGCCGGAGUUCCUGAGGAGGAAAAAGGAGGUCGAUUGCUCCACGACAAACCCCUUCUACGCGGCGCAAGCCGACUGCUUCGGCCUCGCCAUCAACACAUUCUCGGACCUGGAGCAACACUACAGCGAGAUGAACAUGCGCGAAGGCUACGUGAAGCGCGCCUACUUCCUAGGGCCUGUCUCGCCGCGGCCAUCACCGGCAGCCGUGGGCGCCGGCGGCGGCGGUGGCUGCAUCGACUGGCUUGACUCGAAACCAGGCCGCUCGGUGGUGUACGUGUGCUUCGGCAGCUUCGCGCCCGUCUCGGACGCCCAGCUGCGCGAGCUGGCUCUCGGGCUGGAGGCCUCGGGAAGGCCGUUCCUGUGGGUGGUGAGGGCGGAGAAGUGGACUCCGCCGGAGGGAUGGGAGGAGCGUGUCGAAGACAGGGGGCUGAUGGUCACCACCUGGGCCCCGCAGACGGCUAUACUGGGGCACCAGGCGGUGGGCGCGUUCGUGACCCACUGCGGGUGGAACUCGGUGCUGGAGACGGUGGCGGCGGGCGUGCCGGUGCUGACAUGGCCGCUGGUGUUCGAGCAGUUCAUCACCGAGAAGCUGGUCACGGAGGUCCUCGGGAUCGGGGAGCGGCUGUGGCCUCAUGGCGCCGGCGUACGAAGCACGAGCUGUACAGAACACGAGCUAGUCCCCGCCGAAGCUGUGGCGCGGGCAGUGACCGCGUUCAUGGCCCCUGGAGGACCAGCGGACGCGGCGAGGGGCAGGGUGAUGGACCUCGCCGCAAAGGCUCACGCAGCCAUGGCGGAAGGAGGCUCAUCGCACCGUGAUCUGCGGCGUCUGGUCGAUGAUCUCGUGGAAGCAAGAAGUGCCGCUGGAGCGACCAAUUAA
Molecule: ribosomal RNA, 1509 nt
Filed under: Triticum aestivum (bread wheat)
Lineage: Eukaryota; Viridiplantae; Streptophyta; Magnoliopsida; Poales; Poaceae
Description: partial small subunit ribosomal RNA
Source: RNAcentral